AACAAACGCCUACUGAUUCAUGCAGACACAGUCCUGGGUGAGGAGGACAGCUUCCAUUGCAGCUAUGCAGCACCCAGCUCAACAGGAAUGGGGAAUAACGUCAACAAAAGGAACAGAACUGGACCUUGCCUGAUGCAGACACACUGGGACUUGUCAGAGUUAUCAAAGCUCCCAGAAACGUUGCUCUUAGUACUAGCAGUGUGUGUGCCACUCUUCCUGCAGCAAAGGGAAGCUCAAAGGAAGGCAGCAGGUUUGUCCCAGUGCAACACUGUGCAGCUCCGGUCCCGCUGUUCCCUGUGGAGGAUGCAUGCUGCUCUCUCUCCUUUGCUGCCCAGACUU
This 339-nucleotide long non-coding RNA is filed under the name Gallus gallus (chicken). Its description in RNAcentral is "long non-coding RNA NONGGAT004699". The record is from RNAcentral. Lineage: Eukaryota; Metazoa; Chordata; Aves; Galliformes; Phasianidae.